Molecule: ribosomal RNA, 253 nt
Filed under: uncultured bacterium
Lineage: Bacteria
Description: partial 16S ribosomal RNA
Rfam family: Bacterial small subunit ribosomal RNA
Source: RNAcentral
UACGAAGGGGGCUAGCGUUGCUCGGAAUCACUGGGCGUAAAGCGCACGUAGGCGGAUCGUUAAGUCAGGGGUGAAAUCCUGGAGCUCAACUCCAGAACUGCCUUUGAUACUGGCGACCUUGAGUUCGGGAGAGGUGAGUGGGACUGCGAGUGUAGAGGUGAAAUUCGUAGAUAUUCGCAAGAACACCAGUGGCGAAGGCGGCUCACUGGCCCGAUACUGACGCUGAGGUGCGAAAGCGUGGGGAGCGAACAGG